Molecule: ribosomal RNA, 487 nt
Filed under: uncultured Pelotomaculum sp.
Lineage: Bacteria; Bacillati; Bacillota; Clostridia; Eubacteriales; Desulfotomaculaceae
Description: bacterial SSU rRNA
Rfam family: Bacterial small subunit ribosomal RNA
Source: RNAcentral
GAAACUUAAAGGAAUUGACGGGACCGCACAAGCGGUGGAGCAUGUGGUUUAAUUCGACGCAACGCGAAGAACCUUACCAGGGCUUGACAUCCCCUGACCGCGUAUGAAAGUACGUUUUCACCCUCGGGUGACAGGGAGACAGGUGGUGCAUGGUUGUCGUCAGCUCGUGUCGUGAGAUGUUGGGUUAAGUCCCGCAACGAGCGCAACCCCUACGUUUAGUUGCUAACGCGUGAAGGCGAGCACUCUAGACGAACUGCCGUUGACAAAACGGAGGAAGGUGGGGAUGACGUCAAAUCAUCAUGCCCCUUAUGUUCUGGGCUACACACGUGCUACAAUGGCCGGUACAGACGGACGCAAAGCCGCGAGGUGGAGCAAAUCCGAAAAAGCCGGUCUCAGUUCGGAUUGCAGGCUGCAAUUCGCCUGCAUGAAGUCGGAAUCGCUAGUAAUCGCAGGUCAGCAUACUGCGGUGAAUACGUUCCCGGGCCUU